ACCCCACUGCUAUCGGGAUAGGACUAAGACAUGCUAGUCGUGCGCUUCCUAGCCAAUUUGGGAGCGCGGCACACAGCUCAGUAACACGUGGCUAACCUGCCCUUGGGACCAGAAUACCCCCGGGAAACUGGGGCUAAUUCUCGAUAGGUGAAGAACUCUGGAAUGAGUCUUCGCUUAAAAGAGGCUGGGGUUAUGCUCUCCAGUUUCGCCCAAGGAUGGGGCCGCGACCGAUCAGGUUGUUGGUGAGGUAAUGGCUCACCAAGCCUUUUACCGGUGCGGGCCGUGGGAGCGGGAGCCCGGAGAUGGGCACUGAGACAAGGGCCCAGGCCCUACGGGGCGCAGCAGUCGCGAAAACUUUGCAAUAAGCGAAAGCUUGACAGGGCUAUCCCGAGUGCCAUCCGCUGAGGAAGGCUUUUACCCAGUCUAGAACGCUGGGGGAAUAAGGAGAGGGCAAGUCUGGUGUCAGCCGCCGCGGUAAUACCAGCUCUCCGAGUGGUGUGGAUGUUUAUUGGGCCUAAAGCAUCCGUAGCUGGCUAGGUUAGUCCCCUGUUAAAUCCACCGAAUUAAUCGUUGGAUUGCGGGGGAUACUGCUUGGCUAGGGGACGAGAGAGGCAGACGGUAUUUCCGGGGUAGGGGUGAAAUCCUAUAAUCCCGGGAAGACCACCAGUGGCGAAGGCUGUCUGCUAGAACGCGCCCGACGGUGAGGGAUGAAAGCUGGGGGAGCGAACCGGAUUAGAUACCCGGGUAGUCCCAGCUGUAAACGAUGCAGACUAGGUGUUUGAACGGCCACGUGCCGUUCUAGUGCCGCAGGGAAGCUGUUAAGUCUGCCGCCUGGGGAGUACGAUCGCAAGAUUGAAACUUAAAGGAAU
This 869-nucleotide ribosomal RNA is filed under the name uncultured crenarchaeote. Its description in RNAcentral is "bacterial SSU rRNA". It matches the Rfam family "Archaeal small subunit ribosomal RNA", at positions 21 to 865 of the family's 1478-position model. The record is from RNAcentral. Lineage: Archaea; Thermoproteati; Thermoproteota.